GUUGACUUUUUUUCUCAGUUAAUCAACCGAUCUCGUCUGAUCUCGGAAGCUAAGCAGGGUCGGGCCUGGUUAGUACUUGGAUGGGAGACCGCCUGGGAAUACCACGUGCUGUAAGCU
RNAcentral lists this ribosomal RNA (117 nucleotides) under Sinocyclocheilus anshuiensis. The record is from RNAcentral. Lineage: Eukaryota; Metazoa; Chordata; Actinopteri; Cypriniformes; Cyprinidae.